UCUAGCCAACUUCAUAAAAUCAUAAAAAUAAGUGAGGUAUAAAUUGCGGAAAUGAAAGUUAUCCUAUAGCGAUAAGAUGGCCUAUCUAUGAAAUUAGAGUCUCAACAGAAAAACAAAUCAGUGAGUAGGAACACCGAGCAAACCAGCAUGAUACUGUGAAGCAUAGUGUUGGACUUACCUACCGUUUCUUCCUGGCACACAGCUCCCUCAGUGCUUGGAAUCUUCCAAGCGCUAAGGGUCUGUUGGGACCAUGGGAGAAAAAGAUGACAUCAAUGUCAAAAUUCUCUGAAAUAGAAAUAUUUAGAGAGCUGGUGCAAAUGGACACUCAUGGAACCAAGUUCAAUAAAUUAUCUGAGGCAAAUCGCUAA
This is a long non-coding RNA of Chinchilla lanigera (long-tailed chinchilla), 368 nucleotides long. RefSeq lists it as uncharacterized. Lineage: Eukaryota; Metazoa; Chordata; Mammalia; Rodentia; Chinchillidae. The record is from RefSeq and is a predicted model, not a curated record. The transcript has 2 exons.